Molecule: ribosomal RNA, 253 nt
Filed under: uncultured bacterium
Lineage: Bacteria
Description: partial 16S ribosomal RNA
Rfam family: Bacterial small subunit ribosomal RNA
Source: RNAcentral
UACGUAGGGGGCAAGCGUUGUCCGGAAUCAUUGGGCGUAAAGAGCGUGUAGGCGGCUCGGUAAGUCCGUUCUGAAAGUCCAGGGCUCAACCCCGGGAUGCGGAUGGAUACUGCCGGGCUCGAGUCCGGAAGAGGCGAGUGGAAUUCCCGGUGUAGCGGUGAAAUGCGCAGAUAUCGGGAGGAACACCAAUGGCGAAGGCAGCUCGCUGGGACGUGACUGACGCUGAGACGCGAAAGCGUGGGGAGCAAACAGG